RNAcentral lists this transfer RNA (77 nucleotides) under Pseudomonadales bacterium. RNAcentral describes it as "tRNA-Arg". It matches the Rfam family "tRNA". Rfam says of the family: Transfer RNA (tRNA) molecules are approximately 80 nucleotides in length. Their secondary structure includes four short double-helical elements and three loops (D, anti-codon, and T loops). The record is from RNAcentral. RNAcentral also lists the same sequence under 1 other name. Lineage: Bacteria; Pseudomonadati; Pseudomonadota; Gammaproteobacteria; Pseudomonadales.
GCCCCGGUAGCUCAGCAGGAUAGAGCAGCCGCCUCCUAAGCGGCAGGUCGGACGUUCAAAUCGUCUCCGGGGCACCA